UGUAAAGGUUGGACCUUAGGACCUGAUU
This 28-nucleotide non-coding RNA is filed under the name Mus musculus (house mouse). The record is from RNAcentral. Lineage: Eukaryota; Metazoa; Chordata; Mammalia; Rodentia; Muridae.